GGCGUCCGAGUUGUAAUUUGUAGAGGAUGCUAUUGGGUUGCCACCGGUCUAAGUUCCUUGGAACAGGACGUCACAGAGGGUGAGAAUCCCGUAUGUGACCGGCCAGGCGCCUUCUGUAUAGCUCCUUCGACGAGUCGGGUUGUUUGGGAAUGCAGCCCUAAAUGGGAGGUAAAUUUCUUCUAAAGCUAAAUACCGGCCAGAGACCGAUAGCGCACAAGUAGAGUGAUCGAAAGAUGAAAAGCACUUUGGAAAGAGAGUUAAAAAGCACGUGAAAUUGUUGAAAGGGAAGCGCUUGCAAUCAGUCUCGACGGCGGCUGUUCGGCCUCUCUUCUGAGUGGUUUAUUCAGUCGCCGCCGGGCCAGCAUCAGUUUUGGCGGUCGGAUAAAGGCGCAGGGAAUGUAGCUCCCCCGGGAGUGUUAUAGCCCCGCGUGCAACACGGCCCGCCGGGACUGAGGUCCGCGCUUCGGCUAGGAUGCUGGCGAAAUGGUUGUAAGCGGCCCGUCUUGAAACACGGACCAAGGAGUCUAACAUCUACGCGAGUGUUUGGGUGUCAAACCCGUGCGCGCAAUGAAAGUGAACGGAGGUGGGAACCGCAAGGUGCACCAUCGACCGAUCCUGAUGUCUUCGGAUGGAUUUGAGUAAGAGCGUAGCUGUUGGGACCCGAAAGAUGGUGAACUAUGCCUGAAUAGGGUGAAGCCAGAGGAAACUCUGGUGGAGGCUCGCAGCGGUUCUGACG
This 736-nucleotide ribosomal RNA is filed under the name Elsinoe phaseoli. RNAcentral describes it as "eukaryotic LSU rRNA". It matches the Rfam family "Eukaryotic large subunit ribosomal RNA", at positions 133 to 891 of the family's 3401-position model. Lineage: Eukaryota; Fungi; Ascomycota; Dothideomycetes; Myriangiales; Elsinoaceae. The record is from RNAcentral.